RNAcentral lists this ribosomal RNA (459 nucleotides) under uncultured bacterium. RNAcentral describes it as "partial 16S ribosomal RNA". It matches the Rfam family "Bacterial small subunit ribosomal RNA", at positions 338 to 795 of the family's 1533-position model. The record is from RNAcentral.
CCUACGGGCGGCAGCAGUGAGGAAUAUUGGUCAAUGGGCGCGAGCCUGAACCAGCCAAGUCGCGUGAGGGAAGACGGUCCUAUGGAUUGUAAACCUCUUUUGUCGGGGAGCAAAAGACGCCACGCGUGGCGUUCCGCGAGUACCCUAAGAACAAGCAUCGGCUAACUCCGUGCCAGCAGCCGCGGUAAUACGGAGGAUGCGAGCGUUAUCCGGAUUUAUUGGGUUUAAAGGGUGCGCAGGCGGAGGAUCAAGUCAGCGGUAAAAUUGAGAGGCUCAACCUCUUCGAGCCGUUGAAACUGGUUUUCUUGAGUGAGCGAGAAGUAUGCGGAAUGCGUGGUGUAGCGGUGAAAUGCAUAGAUAUCACGCAGAACUCCGAUUGCGAAGGCAGCAUACCGGCGCUCAACUGACGCUCAUGCACGAAAGUGUGGGUAUCGAACAGGAUUAGAUACCCGAGUAGUC